CCUACGGGGGGCAGCAGUGGGGAAUAUUGGACAAUGGGCGAAAGCCUGAUCCAGCCAUGCCGCGUGUGUGAAGAAGGCCUUCGGGUUGUAAAGCACUUUCAGUGGGGAAGAAAGCCUUGGGGCUAAUACCCUCGAGGAAGGACAUCACCCACAGAAGAAGCACCGGCUAACUCCGUGCCAGCAGCCGCGGUAAUACGGAGGGUGCGAGCGUUAAUCGGAAUUACUGGGCGUAAAGCGCGCGUAGGCGGUCUGAUAAGCCGGUUGUGAAAGCCCCGGGCUCAACCUGGGAACGGCAUCCGGAACUGUCAGGCUAGAGUGCAGGAGAGGAAGGUAGAAUUCCCGGUGUAGCGGUGAAAUGCGUAGAGAUCGGGAGGAAUACCAGUGGCGAAGGCGGCCUUCUGGACUGACACUGACGCUGAGGUGCGAAAGCGUUGGUAGCAAACAGGAUUAGAUACCCUAGUAGUC
RNAcentral lists this ribosomal RNA (465 nucleotides) under Vreelandella stevensii. RNAcentral describes it as "partial 16S ribosomal RNA". It matches the Rfam family "Bacterial small subunit ribosomal RNA", at positions 338 to 795 of the family's 1533-position model. Lineage: Bacteria; Pseudomonadati; Pseudomonadota; Gammaproteobacteria; Oceanospirillales; Halomonadaceae. The record is from RNAcentral.